AGUGAACGCUGGCGGUAGGCCUAACACAUGCCAGUCGAACGGCAGCACAGUAAGAGCUUGCUCUUACGGGUGGCGAGUGGCGGACGGGUGAGGAAUACAUCGGAAUCUACUUUUUCGUGGGGGAUAACGUAGGGAAACUUACGCUAAUACCGCAUACGACCUACGGGUGAAAGCAGGGGAUCUUCUGACCUUGCGCGAUUGAAUGAGCCGAUGUCGGAUUAGCUAGUUGGCGGGGUAAAGGCCCACCAAGGCGACGAUCCGUAGCUGGUCUGAGAGGAUGAUCAGCCACACUGGAACUGAGACACGGUCCAGACUCCUACGGGAGGCAGCAGUGGGGAAUAUUGGACAAUGGGCGCAAGCCUGAUCCAGCCAUACCGCGUGGGUGAAGAAGGCCUUCGGGUUGUAAAGCCCUUUUGUUGGGAAAGAAAAGCAGCAGGUUAAUACCCCGCUGUUCUGACGGUACCCAAAGAAUAAGCACCGGCUAACUUCGUG
RNAcentral lists this ribosomal RNA (492 nucleotides) under uncultured bacterium. RNAcentral describes it as "partial 16S ribosomal RNA". It matches the Rfam family "Bacterial small subunit ribosomal RNA", at positions 29 to 507 of the family's 1533-position model. The record is from RNAcentral.